UACAGAGGUCCCAAGCGUUGUUCGGAUUCAUUGGGCGUAAAGGGUGCGUAGGUGGCGCCGUAAGUCGGGUGUGAAAUUUCGGAGCUUAACUCCGAAACUGCAUUCGAUACUGCCGUGCUUGAGGACUGGGGAGGAGACUGGAAUUCAUGGUGUAGCAGUGAAAUGCGUAGAGAUCAUGAGGAAGACCAGUGGCGAAGGCGGGUCUCUGGACAGUUCCUGACACUGAGACACGAAGGCCAGGGGAGCAAACGGG
RNAcentral lists this ribosomal RNA (253 nucleotides) under uncultured bacterium. RNAcentral's name for it is "partial 16S ribosomal RNA". It matches the Rfam family "Bacterial small subunit ribosomal RNA", at positions 524 to 776 of the family's 1533-position model. The record is from RNAcentral.